RNAcentral lists this ribosomal RNA (492 nucleotides) under uncultured bacterium. RNAcentral describes it as "bacterial SSU rRNA". It matches the Rfam family "Bacterial small subunit ribosomal RNA", at positions 21 to 507 of the family's 1533-position model. The record is from RNAcentral.
GGCUCAGAUUGAACGCUGGCGGCAUGCUUUACACAUGCAAGUCGAACGGUAACAGGGAGCUUGCUCCGCUGACGAGUGGCGAACGGGUGAGUAAUGCAUCGGAACGUACCCAGUCGUGGGGGAUAACGUAGCGAAAGUUACGCUAAUACCGCAUACGUCCUGAGGGAGAAAGCGGGGGGACCGUAAGGCCUCGCGCGAUUGGAGCGGCCGAUGUCGGAUUAGCUAGUUGGUAGGGUAAAGGCCUACCAAGGCGACGAUCCGUAGCGGGUCUGAGAGGAUGAUCCGCCACACUGGGACUGAGACACGGCCCAGACUCCUACGGGAGGCAGCAGUGGGGAAUUUUGGACAAUGGGCGAAAGCCUGAUCCAGCCAUGCCGCGUGAGUGAAGAAGGCCUUCGGGUUGUAAAGCUCUUUCAGGUGGAAAGAAAACGCAUAGGUUAAUACCUUGUGCGGAUGACGGUACCAUCAGAAGAAGCACCGGCUAACUACGUG